UUUUUUUCGCAAUACGUAUAAAAUAGGAAUUUGGGGGUGGGGUCGAGUUUGAAUGCCAAAAGAAAAUAAAGUUGUUUGAAAAUUAAAAAAAAAAACCGGUCAGAUUGUGUAUAGAACCCCCUAUUUUUCGAUUGUUGAUGUUUUAAGCAUUACAUGAAUGAUAUAAGCACUAUAAUCCACGAGGAACUAACAAAACCGCUAUACCCAAUCCUUUGUGCUAUAGUUCACUAAUAAAUACUCUGAGUUUUCUAUCCCUAGU
RNAcentral lists this long non-coding RNA (259 nucleotides) under Lathyrus oleraceus (garden pea). RNAcentral describes it as "Pisum sativum (pea) long non-coding RNA (PSAT_LNC029165)". Lineage: Eukaryota; Viridiplantae; Streptophyta; Magnoliopsida; Fabales; Fabaceae. The record is from RNAcentral.